Molecule: ribosomal RNA, 431 nt
Filed under: uncultured Elusimicrobium sp.
Lineage: Bacteria; Pseudomonadati; Elusimicrobiota; Elusimicrobia; Elusimicrobiales; Elusimicrobiaceae
Description: bacterial SSU rRNA
Rfam family: Bacterial small subunit ribosomal RNA
Source: RNAcentral
AACGCGAAGAACCUUACCUGGGCUUGAACUACCGGUGGUAAGUACCUGGAAACAGGGACUGACCCGCAAGGGAGCCGGCAGAGGUGCUGCAUGGUUGUCGUCAGCUCGUGUCGUGAGAUGUUGGGUUAAGUCCCGCAACGAGCGCAACCCCUAUCUCAUGUUGCUACUCCCGCAAGGGAGGCACUCUUGAGAAACUGCCUUCGAUAAGAAGGAGGAAGGUGGGGACGACGUCAAAUCCUCAUGGCCCUUAUGUCCAGGGCUACACACGUGCUACAAUGGCCGGUACAACGGGAAGCAAUACCGCAAGGUGGAGCAAAACCCUGAAAGCCGGCCCCAGUUCAGAUUGUGGGCUGCAACUCGCCCACAUGAAGGCGGAAUCGCUAGUAAUCGCGAAUCAGCAGGUCGCGGUGAAUACGUUCCCGGGCCUUGUA